AUGAGGAUGGAGCAGGGACAUCAACAAUCACAAAGAGAGGGGCUUUCCCUUGGAAGUGACAAGUUACUAGAUAGAUGGAAGCUUCCCAGUGGCACUGGAAAACAGACUCUAAAGUUUUUUGAUGAAACAGAACACUGGCCUUUCCUCUUCAUUUUGGAGGACUGUUUCAUGGCUCUAAUACAAUGGCUUCAUUUGGACUUUCACUGAGUCCUCAUAAUUCUUGAUACCUUAUCAUAUAAAUAUAUUUUUUCAUUUUUAGAAAAAAUAUAGAUAUGUUGCCUUCUAAGUUUUGCUUGCAGUUCAAUGGGCAGUUAUUUGUAGGCACCAAACAACUGAAUUAAGAUGGAAGUGUUCAAUACUCAUUGGGUUUUAAAGAUCUGGUAUACAGAAAGAAUUGAAUAUGUCACUGCUGAUUUUAUACUGUUUAUACUGUUUUAUACUGUAAUAAUUUGGAUAUAUCAGAG
RNAcentral lists this long non-coding RNA (464 nucleotides) under Mus spicilegus (steppe mouse). RNAcentral's name for it is "lncRNA (ENSMSIG00000021207.1)". Lineage: Eukaryota; Metazoa; Chordata; Mammalia; Rodentia; Muridae. The record is from RNAcentral.